This 497-nucleotide non-coding RNA is filed under the name uncultured Glomus. Its description in RNAcentral is "SSU rRNA". It matches the Rfam family "Eukaryotic small subunit ribosomal RNA", at positions 591 to 1092 of the family's 1831-position model. Lineage: Eukaryota; Fungi; Glomeromycota; Glomeromycetes; Glomerales; Glomeraceae. RNAcentral also lists the same sequence under 1 other name. The record is from RNAcentral.
CCAAUAGCGUAUAUUAAAGUUGUUGCAGUUAAAAAGCUCGUAGUUGAAUUUCGAGACCGGUUUACUGGUCGUGCUUUUGUACGUACUGGUAUAAUCGGUUUCUCUUUUCUGACGAACUAUAAUGCCAUUAAUUUGGUGUUAUAGGGAAUCAGGACUGUUACUUUGAAAAAAUUAGAGUGUUUAAAGCAGGCUCACGCUUGAAUACAUUAGCAUGGAAUAACGAAAUAGGACGUUUGAUUUUAUUUUGUUGGUUUCUAGGAUCGACGUAAUGAUUAAUAGGGAUAGUUGGGGGCAUUAGUAUUCAAUUGUCAGAGGUGAAAUUCUUGGAUUUAUUGAAGACUAACUACUGCGAAAGCAUUUGCCAAGGAUGUUUUCAUUAAUCAAGAACGAAAGUUAGGGGAUCGAAGACGAUCAGAUACCGUCGUAGUCUUAACCAUAAACUAUGCCGACUAGGGAUCGGAUGAUGUUAAUAUUAAUGACUCAUUCGGCACCUUACG